UCCCCNAGGUAUCCUGAAUCUUUCGCAUUGUUAAUCAUACAAGUGCAUAUAAUAAACAUAGAAAAUCAAUGAUAAUCAUGCUAUUAUAUAAUUUUAAAAAAAUUAACGCACUGUAUUCAUAUAAAUCUAUCAACACUUUAUCAAAUUAAUGACAUUUAUUUUAUGUUACAAUACGCAAGCAAAAUAAUUUAAAUAAACUAUAAGUCAUAUUUUAUGAUAAAUGUGGUUUAUAUUAAUAGAUGACUAUGUCCUUAUAUGGA
Molecule: ribosomal RNA, 260 nt
Filed under: Drosophila austrosaltans
Lineage: Eukaryota; Metazoa; Arthropoda; Insecta; Diptera; Drosophilidae
Description: partial 28S ribosomal RNA
Source: RNAcentral